This 192-nucleotide ribosomal RNA is filed under the name Ditylum brightwellii. RNAcentral's name for it is "partial Bacterial large subunit ribosomal RNA". It matches the Rfam family "Bacterial large subunit ribosomal RNA", at positions 1220 to 1410 of the family's 2925-position model. The record is from RNAcentral. Lineage: Eukaryota; Bacillariophyta; Thalassiosirophyceae; Lithodesmiales; Lithodesmiaceae.
CUUGCUGGGUAGGGGAGCGUUGUGUAAGUGGAUGAAGGUGAGUUGUAAAGCUUGCUGGACAUAUCACAAGUGCGAAUGCUGACAUGAGUAACGAUAAUGGGAGUGAAAAACUCCCACGCCGGAAGACCAAGGUUUCCUGUCCCAUGCUAAUCAGGGCAGGGUAAGUCGGCCCCUAAGGCGAGGCAGAAAUGC